Long non-coding RNA from Tympanuchus pallidicinctus (lesser prairie-chicken), 3441 nucleotides. RefSeq lists it as uncharacterized. Lineage: Eukaryota; Metazoa; Chordata; Aves; Galliformes; Phasianidae. The record is from RefSeq and is a predicted model, not a curated record. The transcript is spliced from 3 exons.
CCCCUCGCCUCCUCUAGGUUCGCUUUCUCCAGCUUACCAACCAGUGCUCAUCAUUCUGCCAAGAGGUGCAUGGAUAGAAUUUACAUAUGUUUAAUAGAAAAAGGAAAAGAUGUGAACAUCAUCUGUCUGUGAAGGAUUAGCUACACCUAGUUACCACCCUUAGCUACUAGUUACUAGUUACCACCCUUUUUGUGGUUACUUGGUUUUCUUGAGGGAGACCUAAAAACUGAAUGCCAGAGGCAAACAACAAAAAAUAAUGGGUUAAUAGAAUGUCCACAUAGAUAAAAUCAGAGAGGGAAACAUAAAAAAUACAACAGCUGAAUUGUACCCAAACUCCAGAAGAACAAAGGCUGACAGAAUCCCCAGAAGUGUAAGUGUGCCAGGAUUUACAGCCCACAGCAGCACACUUUACGAACAGCAAGCAGUUCAAUUUACCCUAUUACUUAAAUAACUCAGUAAGGAAUCUUCUGGUUUGGGGCUAGUGUAGCAAUAAAAUCUUUCUCUGCACUAUUCUGAGAAUGAACUUUAAUCCAUUUCUUAUCUCCUGCUUGAAAAUGAACAUCCUUUCUAUUCUUAUCAUGUUUCUGCUUUUUCUUGUUUUUUUUUUUUUUCCUUUUGGAUUUUUGAGCAUUAGCCAUCUUCCUCUUGGCAGAUACACGGAGUUGUUCCUGCUCGGCUGUUUGUUGUGCUGAGUUACCUUUGAAAUCCUUCCCUCUUUUUAUGACUACACUCCAGAGGCCCUUUUAAUAACUGGCCCAAGGCUAAUACUUCCAUGAAAGCCAAGCUUGCUGUGAUACACAACCUGCUUUCUCCUCAGCUUCUACAAAUCUUUCACUGGGAUGCAACAUAGUGCAUGGUUCUCUAACAAUUUCUGCUCCUUCAACAAUGGAUCUGCCUCAUGCUGUCAGCUAAACUGGCCUCGGAUCCGGUGACAGCACAGACAUUAUCUACUUCCUUACAUCUAGUGGAGAUAAAACAAGUGUUGUUUUUCCAUGUAGGCGCAUCUGGGAUGUCAGCGCUGUCUUAUGAUCUUGGUUUCAUCAAGCCAUCUUUGUUGCAGUUUGAUGUACCGUGUACUAAAGCGCAUCUUGAAAUGCCUCUGGUUUGGAACACGGACAUUUUUAUGUAUGUAUCAGCCCACCAUCAAUUUAGAACAAGCUAUCCUUUAAAAUAAAAGGUCUCUCCUUCAGAUUAUAGCAUUUUCCUGAUGUAGAGAGGUCAAACGCAAGGCUGUAUUCCCUAAAAUGCACCUUUGAAGGAUAAGACCGUCGGCGUGGCUAUUGGCACGUGGGCAGCACGGGGCCGUGGGGAUGGAAAUGGCCCCACUGUCGUGUUUUUGGAGUGAUUCCACGAAAAAUAUUCUUUUUAAUUAAACUGGAGGGCUGAUUUAUUGGACCUGCGGUUCGGACUUUGCUGUGCUGAAGGGAUUUCCUUGCAUUUCUUUCAUGGUGAUCAUGGUGUUCUCAGCUGGUCAAAAUAACUCCAGCAAAUCUGAGGAGUUGAAAGAGCUUGUGGGUGUUGUCAUAGUUUAGUUUGGCUCGAGUACUCCUUUCAAUUUCUGAAAAAACUUCAGGCUGAUAAUAAGGAGAAAUAAAACAGAGUUUUUGGACUGGAUAUAAGGAAGAAGUUUUUUACAAUAAGGGUGGUGAGAGGCAAUGGCACGGGUUGCCCAGAGAGGUGGAUGCCCCAUCCCUGGAGACACCCAAGGUCAGGCGGGACAGGCUCUGAGCACUGAUGGAGCUGUAGGUGUCCCUGGGGAUGUCGGAUAAGGUGACCUUUAAGGAUCUCUUCCAACUCAAACCAUUCUACUGUUCUAUGAAAAAAGUGCUUAUUUUCUUUUUUAUUAGUUGGAUGGGCAUUUCACGGUUGUUUGUUUUUUAUCAUAUCCAACUUGGUGAGCAGUACCAUCUACUCCAUCAGGCUCUCACUGGAUUCAAGCUGGCUUCUGUGGAAUUUGGGUGGGGUUUUGAGUGUGUGGAUUUCUUCUAGAAUGUUGUUUUUAAAGCAGAGUAAGCACUUGUAAGAAUAUUUGCUGUCUGAUGUUUUACCAUUUGCUCUCUAAGAGAAGCAAGACUUAUUUCUUGGAUGCAGUAGUAGUGCAAAUUUGUUUAUCUAUACACACAAGUACUGAUUGAAAAUCUGGAUUAGAAAUGAGCUCUGCUUCAUUCCUUCAAGUCUGUGUGUCUGCCUGAUGAUUUUUUUAGUUUUUAUAUUAAGUCGCAUUUGACACUAUGGAGUGAGAAUUUACCACUGUAAUUUAAAUUAUUGUUUGAAUUAUUAUUAUUUAGAAUGUAUCAUUAUCAUUAAUUCCAAAGUUUAUGUUUGCAAUAGUGUUUAACUGUAGCAACAGUGAUUCCUGGUCACAGACAGAAGGUGGAUGUUUUCAGCAGUACAGGCCUGCCUGAUUGGGAAGGUGGUUUCCAGACAGCAGGAUGCCUGCAGUAACACAGGAAGUGCUACAGCUGUAUUAAUCUGGAAGAACAUCAAAGUAACUUGUGACACUGAACUUGGGUUGGAGAUCUCUCUCCUAGUUUCUUGGAAACAGCUGCAAAUGUUGUGAUGAAAUCGCCAGGGCUGCGUUUUGGAGCAUGCAUACAGAGGGGCUUUGGAUGAAGCAGGCUUUUGGUGCACAGCAGAUGAUUGCUGAGCCUCUUACUACUGCUGAAAUGAUUAUUUCUGAAAAUAGAAAGAAAACAACAAUUCUGCUGAUACGACAGAUUUCUGUCACCUUACCAAGAAGGCAAAAGCAAGUGGCUAUAUUUCCCUCUUAUUCUGUUUGUAAUCCUUAAGAAGCAGUUUUGAUUUCAUAAGAUGAUUUUACUUAAUCUUAUAUGCUACUUGUGGUAACUUAGAAGAAGGAAAAUAGUUUUUGUUCUAAUGAUGUGUGUAUUCCCUUCCCUCCAUUUAAUGCUCUAUUUUCAUGAACUUUUUUCUGGAUGUGCUAGAACUUUUUCCCCCUUCAUUUUGAAGACCUCUCUUGUAUUUCAUUUAUUUUUCAUUUUUACGGAGUUUUGGACCUAUAAAAAAACCAAGCACUUUAUAGCGAAGGCUGUGUUGAUAGAUAGUGACCAGGGACAUUCAAAGCACACCCUGCAGGGAUGCUUGCUUUCAUUCAUGCUGCAUGUAAAAGGAUUUGUUUUCUUUUCACCCUUGAGUUCACGGUAGAUGCUUUUCUUUUAUCCUGCUAUAAAACAAGAGUAGGUAGGAGAUGGACAUAAGCCAGGAGCCAUUGUUUUGGUGAUCAGAGCCUGCGUGUGUUCCUGGGGUGAACCAGGAGCUGCCUUCCCUACUGUGCAUCCUGCUGCUUAGAGUGUUGUGUGGAAGGUGAAAGGUGUUCUGAACUUCUUCCACUGAGCCGGCUGCACUCGGAGUUCUUGCUAUUUUGUCACUUAGGUGACUGUUAGAGCACCCACUGGUUUUCUUUACUUUUAAAGAAAAGUG